AGAGUUUGAUCCUGGCUCAGAACGAACGCUGGCGGCGUGCCUAACACAUGCAAGUCGCACGAGAAAGGUCUUCGGACCGAGUAAAGUGGCGGACGGGUGAGUAAUGCAUGGACAACCUGCCUUCGAGCGGGGGAUAACCUCGGGAAACCGGGGCUAAUACCGCAUGAUGAGUCGUGAGCUUCGGCUUGCGCCUCCAAAGCUGGCCUCUACCUGUAAGCUGGCACUUGAAGAGGGGUCCAUGUCCCAUUAGCUAGUUGGUGAGGUAACGGCUYACCAAGGCGACGAUGGGUAGCCGGCCUGAGAGGGUGAUCGGCCACACUGGGACUGAGACACGGCCCAGACUCCUACGGGAGGCAGCAGUGGGGAAUCUUGCGCAAUGGGCGAAAGCCUGACGCAGCGACGCCGCGUGGAGGAUGAAGGCCUUUGGGUUGUAAACUCCUGUCGGGUGGGAAGAAAGCCUUCCAGUGAAUAGCUGGAGGGGUUGACUGUACCACUAGAGGAAGCCCCGGCUAACUCCGUGCCAGCAGCCGCGGUAAUACGGAGGGGGCAAGCGUUGUUCGGAAUUAUUGGGCGUAAAGGGCGCGUAGGCGGCUGGUCAAGUCAGGUGUGAAAUCCCUCGGCUCAACCGAGGAAUUGCACUUGAAACUGACCGGCUUGAGUCCGGGAGGGGGUAGCGGAAUUCCCAGUGUAGCGGUGAAAUGCGUAGAUAUUGGGAAGAACACCAGUAGCGAAGGCGGCUACCUGGACCGGAACUGACGCUGAGGCGCGAAAGCCAGGGGAGCGAAUGGGAUUAGAUACCCCGGUAGUCCUGGCUGUAAACGAUGGGCACUUGGUGUGGCGGGUCUCACCCCCCGCCGUGCCGAAGCUAACGCUUUAAGUGCCCCGCCUGGGGAGUACGGUCGCAAGGCUGAAACUUAAAGGAAUUGACGGGGGCCCCGCACAGCG
Molecule: ribosomal RNA, 945 nt
Filed under: uncultured bacterium
Lineage: Bacteria
Description: bacterial SSU rRNA
Rfam family: Bacterial small subunit ribosomal RNA
Source: RNAcentral